CUUGAAUAAUCAUAAGAGGUCCAGCCUGCCCAGUGAUAUAAUUUAACGGCCGCGGUACCCUGACCGUGCAAAGGUAGCAUAAUCACUUGUUCUCUAAAUAAGGACUAGUAUCAACGGCAUCACGAGGGUUAUACUGUCUCCUCUUUUUAAUCAGUGAAACUGACCUCUCCGUGAAGAGGCGGGGAUAGUUAUACAAGACGAGAAGACCCCAUGGAGCUUUAAACCCAAUGACAGCCCACACAAGUUUUACCCUAAAAUGAACAAAGCAAUGUUUAUUGGUUUUAGGUUGGGGUGACCACGGAGAAAAACCAAACCUCCACGAUGAAUGGACCUUAAUCCUAAUCUACGAGAUACUACUCCAAGAAUCAAUAAUUUGACAUAAUAUGAUCCGACAACGAUCAACGAACCA
This 409-nucleotide ribosomal RNA is filed under the name Limnonectes taylori. RNAcentral describes it as "partial 16S ribosomal RNA". It matches the Rfam family "Bacterial large subunit ribosomal RNA", at positions 1834 to 2459 of the family's 2925-position model. Lineage: Eukaryota; Metazoa; Chordata; Amphibia; Anura; Dicroglossidae. The record is from RNAcentral.